CCUACGGGGGGCAGCAGUGGGGAAUAUUGCACAAUGGGGGAAACCCUGAUGCAGCGACGCCGCGGGAGUGAAGAAGAGUUUCGGCGCGUAAAGCUCUGUCAGCGGGGAAGAAACACGGUUCGCGAGAGCCGCGGACGGUACCCGACCAAGAAGCCCCGGCUAACUACGUGCCAGCAGCCGCGGUCAGACGGAGGGGGCAAGCGUUAUCCGGAUUCAAUGGGGGUAAAGGGAGCGUAGACGGCGAGACAAAUCUGGAGUGAAAGGCCGGGGCUCAACCCCGGGACUGCUCUGGAGAGUGCCUGGCUGGAGUACAGGAGAGGUAAGUGGAAUGACUAGUGUAGCGGUGAAAUGCGUAGAUAUUAGGAGGAACACCAGUGGCGAAGGCGGCUUACUGGACUGUAACUGACGUUGAGGCUCGAAAGCGUGGGGAGCAAACAGGAUUAGAUACCCCAGUAGUC
This 458-nucleotide ribosomal RNA is filed under the name uncultured bacterium. Its description in RNAcentral is "partial 16S ribosomal RNA". It matches the Rfam family "Bacterial small subunit ribosomal RNA", at positions 338 to 795 of the family's 1533-position model. The record is from RNAcentral.